Molecule: long non-coding RNA, 342 nt
Organism: Esox lucius (northern pike)
Lineage: Eukaryota; Metazoa; Chordata; Actinopteri; Esociformes; Esocidae
Exons: 4
Source: RefSeq, a predicted model, not a curated record
GAAACAGAUGCCCAAGCCACCUCAGCUGACACCUCACAUUGAUAUAUCUGUUUUAAAAUAAUUUAUUUUAUCAUAAAGAUGCCAUCAAGAUGCGACCAAGCAAGAGGAAUGAUGUCAAGAUCUGAAGAGGUACUGCCUGCGUUCCAUUGAACAAAUAGCACCAAAGCGGACCCCAGUUUCUAACUGUGUCAGUAAAACAGAAAAUACUGAAAAUGUCUUUGGCAGAUGAGGUGAAAAGAAAAUUCCCAAACAUACCAGAGCCUGGCAUAAAAGCCUGUAUGGCCCAAAAGCUUAAGGACCUGCGUGUGAAGGAGCGCUCUACCACCAAGAAGUAAAGAAAGG